GAGUUCUUUGAUUGGAAUCUAAUGGAUAAAAAUGGAGAGAUGAAUAACGAUUUCAGAGUUCAAUCAUGUAGAGAAAGGCCAAAAAACAAAAACAAAAGAGAGGUAAUUUAGAUUACCUCAUUUAGGUCUAUCCAACCACAGUGGUGGAAGACGACAACAUCCGACGAGGAGUUUGAGUCAACCUCGGGAGAAAGGGCGCUCCAGGUUAAACUGGGAAGGUUUACAUUCCACUACGGGAAGAAGAUGCGCCCGGAGGCGGCUUAGUAGACCAGCUUAGUAGACCAUCCUCGAGGCUUAGUGCUCGGAGGACGGUAGAAGUUUCACGAGCCAUGAUGCUCGGACAGUAGAAGGUUCUCGAGGCAUAUGAUGCUCGGAUGAAGCCAACUUGGGUACCAAUAUUGCUCGAACCCUGGUGGGAGUCGUGCUCAGCUGAGACUCAACCACCUUGAACAGGUUCGAAUUGGUGUCCUAAUGUCUAUUUUAUUGGUACUUAUAGACUUAUAGACAUCGUUGGGUAAAUGAGCUAACAAAAGCCCACUAAAGAACCCAAUC
This 552-nucleotide long non-coding RNA is filed under the name Capsella grandiflora. Its description in RNAcentral is "long non-coding RNA (CGRA_LNC000968)". Lineage: Eukaryota; Viridiplantae; Streptophyta; Magnoliopsida; Brassicales; Brassicaceae. The record is from RNAcentral.